Non-coding RNA from Nitrososphaera viennensis EN76, 37 nucleotides. NCBI's taxonomy places the organism in Archaea, Thermoproteati, Nitrososphaerota, Nitrososphaeria, Nitrososphaerales, Nitrososphaeraceae. The record is from Rfam.
GUCUGAAAGACAAAUCCAUUAAAACAAGGAUUGAAAC